Molecule: non-coding RNA, 311 nt
Organism: Arachis ipaensis
Lineage: Eukaryota; Viridiplantae; Streptophyta; Magnoliopsida; Fabales; Fabaceae
Source: RefSeq, a predicted model, not a curated record
AGUUGGGUGCAGCCGACUAUAUUGCAGUUGCUGAAAACUAUCACACUGUUUUCAUAUCUGAUAUUCCAGUGAUGAGUAUGCGCAUCCGUGACAAGGCAAGGAGAUUUAUAACCCUAAUUGACGAGUUGUACAAUCAUCAUUGCUGCCUUUGUUGCUUGGCAUCCUCCUUAAUUGAUGAAUUAUUUCAAGGAACUGAGGAUGGCACACUUUUUGACUUGGAGAGUUUCUAGUUUGAAACAGAGACCGAAGGUGCUAAACUUCGCCGUGAUGUCUUAGCAGAAGGCAAUGUGGGCUUAGGAGGUACUCAUGUU